AGCGAACGCUGGCGGCAGGCCUAACACAUGCAAGUCGAACGAACUCUUCGGAGUUAGUGGCGGACGGGUGAGUAACACGUGGGAACGUGCCCUUUGGUACGGAAUAACUCAGGGAAACUUGAGCUAAUACCGUAUGUGCCCUUCGGGGGAAAGAUUUAUCGCCAUUGGAGCGGCCCGCGUCUGAUUAGCUAGUUGGUGAGGUAAUGGCUCACCAAGGCUACGAUCAGUAGCUGGUCUGAGAGGAUGAUCAGCCACAUUGGGACUGAGACACGGCCCAAACUCCUACGGGAGGCAGCAGUGGGGAAUCUUGCGCAAUGGGCGAAAGCCUGACGCAGCCAUGCCGCGUGAAUGAUGAAGGUCUUAGGAUUGUAAAAUUCUUUCACCGGGGACGAUAAUGACGGUACCCGGAGAAGAAGCCCCGGCUAACUUCGUG
Molecule: ribosomal RNA, 433 nt
Filed under: uncultured bacterium
Lineage: Bacteria
Description: partial 16S ribosomal RNA
Rfam family: Bacterial small subunit ribosomal RNA
Source: RNAcentral